AACUAAACAAAACUGUCUGAAAACUGGGACAAGGCCCCCAGUAGACCAAAACAUGACUAAAGAUAAAUAUCUAAAAGUAAACAGGCCUUUUGGAAUAUAGAAGGCUCACCCCUGGACAAUCUGCUCUGCGAUCUGAAAUAUCUACUGUUUAUCUGGACCCCUAGACUGUGUCUCAAAACUUGGAAGAAAGGAGGGGGGUCAGCACAAAUGUACUGGCACGCGAAACAAUCCAAAAUAAAGUAUUUGAACAUAUAUAUAAUAGAUGAGACCAAUUUUCAUCAACAUAUCACAUAAAAUAGCUUCUGAAAACACAUGGGUUUUAUUCAAAAUCAUAAGAUAUUCUUGUCAUAACAAUUUCUGAUCUUUGUAUUACUUCUAGUUAGGUGGCACUCCCCUACAAGUCUGAUAUUCCACGGGCUAUACGAAAUCCGCCAUUGACUCGGCGGGGAAGCCCCCAACCCAAGUGUGCCGCAAGGGUUGGAGUGUCUGAGUCUGAUACGCCACACGACACUUAAGCCAGCGUAUAAUAAUAUACCUGGAUCGGCAAAUCACGGUUUUAGGCAAUGAGUUGUCUGAACUCACGCCUUCUUUGGGGAUCACCUAACAUCUCUUUAUGCCCAAUUUUUAACCUUUUCUGAACAUAUCAUUCUGAAAUUUCUUAAUCGUGAAAGUCUGAUAAAAUCUGAUUUCUGAACUAGUUUAUGUCUGUUAUGGCAUUUUUCUGAGUUGGUAUCGUCAUACCAAGACUUGUAAUUCCUAUUUCUGAGCCAUAAUGCAUUAAGCAUGACCUUUUGUAGUUUCAGACCACCCAAACAUGUAAUUUGCAUAAAAGAUUUCAUGUUCCGAAACUCAAGUUAAAACCAUGCAAAAACUUUCAUCAAACAUAUGGUGGUCAUGUGCUUUUGGCAAAACCAUGCACUCUUUCAUUAUAUGUAUAUUCAACAUUCACAAAUUUACAACCCUCUCUUUCGUGUUCAAAAUCGUAUUCCAAACAUAGCAAAGUCAAAGCAUUUCAUAUCAUGAUUUUUUCAAGACGUAUUUCAAAACAAUCUAUAUCAUGUGAAACAUGGAAAAAUUACAUCAAGAGAGGGAUUUCAUGUAAAUCGUGCUCUCAAUUCAUAUUUCAAGGCAAAACACAUAUAUACAUAUACAUAUAAUUUUCAAGUCACUAUGGGGGAAAGCCAAAAGGCUAAAACAAUAUCAUUUAAAACUUCUAAAACAUGAAUAUGUACAUGAAUUCAAAAACCCCUUUCUUAAAACAUGAUAUCUAUGCUCAUGAGAAUUUAGGAAAACCCCGCAUACCUCUAUUUAAGAAAUUGAUAGAUGAUCCUUGAAGCCUACGAUGUGGAGAUUCCAAAUCUCUAAUUAUCUUCCAAAACCCACGGUUGAAUCUUGAGUUAUUUGGGAUUUUUGUUUGAAACCCUACGGGGGUGUUCUUGAGAGAAAAUUUGAGAAAAGGAUUAUAUUUUGAUGAAUUGGGAGUUAAAUCUGGUGUUAUAGACGAAAUUUGGGUGAGGUGAAAUGACUAAAAUGCCCCUAAGAAAACAAACAAAG
RNAcentral lists this long non-coding RNA (1554 nucleotides) under Capsicum annuum. Its description in RNAcentral is "long non-coding RNA (CANN_LNC020426)". The record is from RNAcentral. Lineage: Eukaryota; Viridiplantae; Streptophyta; Magnoliopsida; Solanales; Solanaceae.